RNAcentral lists this ribosomal RNA (497 nucleotides) under uncultured bacterium. Its description in RNAcentral is "partial 16S ribosomal RNA". It matches the Rfam family "Bacterial small subunit ribosomal RNA", at positions 28 to 507 of the family's 1533-position model. The record is from RNAcentral.
GAUGAACGCUGGCGGCGUGCCUAAUACAUGCAAGUCGAGCGAACGGACGAGAAGCUUGCUUCUCUGAUGUUAGCGGCGGACGGGUGAGUAACACGUGGAUAACCUACCUAUAAGACUGGGAUAACUUCGUGAAACCGGAGCUAAUACCGGCUAAUAUUUUGAACCGCAUGGUUCAAAAGUGAAAGACGGUCUUGCUGUCACUUAUAGAUGGAUCCGCGCUGCAUUAGCUAGUUGGUAAGGUAACGGCUUACCAAGGCAACGAUGCAUAGCCGACCUGAGAGGGUGAUCGGCCACACUGGAACUGAGACACGGUCCAGACUCCUACGGGAGGCAGCAGUAGGGAAUCUUCCGCAAUGGGCGAAAGCCUGACGGAGCAACGCCGCGUGAGUGAUGAAGGUCUUCGGAUCGUAAAACUCUGUUAUUAGGGAGGAACAGAUGUGUAAGUAACUGUGCACAUCUUGACGGUACCUAAUCAGAAAGCCACGGCUAACUACGUG